This 567-nucleotide ribosomal RNA is filed under the name Triticum aestivum (bread wheat). RNAcentral's name for it is "partial small subunit ribosomal RNA". Lineage: Eukaryota; Viridiplantae; Streptophyta; Magnoliopsida; Poales; Poaceae. The record is from RNAcentral.
AUGCACUGUAUCACAAGCCAAAAAUGCAGACUAAGUCACCAACUAGCAAGCUGCUAUUGCAAGCUAAGUGUGUCGUGCGAUUGCUACCAGGAUAAUCAACACAUUUGUGGUCGGUACUGUCACUCACCUCUUGGAUGUCUUGGAGGGAAUUGGCACAAUGGGAGUUCGAUGGCCAGCGAUAUUCUCCUCCACAGCCUUCACGAGCAGCCUGAAAGCGCGCUUGUGCAAUCACCCUCCCUGCUGCUGCUGCUUCUCCUCCUCCUAGUCCAUCCUUUCCUCUCCGCCGCGACGCCGUCUAUCACCACCAAAGCCGUGCCGCGGCUGCCGGGUUUCUCCGGACCCCUGCCCUUCUCCCUCGAAACUGGGUACGUGGCGCUGGACGACGGCGUCCGCCUCUUCUACUACUUCAUCCAGUCGGAGCGCGACCCGGCAGAGGCAGUGGCGGAGCCAGGAAUGAAAUGGUGGGUGUGCACACCUAAAAAAAUUCUACCUAAUCCAAGUGUCAUACAUACAAUAGUUGGCAAAAAUAUAAUACAAAUAGCCCAAUCAAGUCAGACAACAUUAUAG